RNAcentral lists this ribosomal RNA (531 nucleotides) under uncultured Bacillota bacterium. RNAcentral's name for it is "bacterial SSU rRNA". It matches the Rfam family "Bacterial small subunit ribosomal RNA", at positions 8 to 522 of the family's 1533-position model. The record is from RNAcentral. Lineage: Bacteria; Bacillati; Bacillota.
AGAGUUUCAUCAUGGCUCAGGACGAACGCUGGCGGCGUGCCUAAUACAUGCAAGUCGAGCGAAUUUUUGGGAGCUUGCUCCCAAAGGUUAGCGGCGGACGGGUGAGUAACACGUGGGCAACCUGCCUAUAAGACUGGGAUAACUUCGGGAAACCGGAGCUAAUACCGGAUAAUUCUUUUCUACACAUGUAGGAAAGCUGAAAGACGGUUUCGGCUGUCACUUAUAGAUGGGCCCGCGGCGCAUUAGCUAGUUGGUGAGGUAAUGGCUCACCAAGGCAACGAUGCGUAGCCGACCUGAGAGGGUGAUCGGCCACACUGGGACUGAGACACGGCCCAGACUCCUACGGGAGGCAGCAGUAGGGAAUCUUCCGCAAUGGACGAAAGUCUGACGGAGCAACGCCGCGUGAGUGAUGAAGGUUUUCGGAUCGUAAAACUCUGUUGUUAGGGAAGAACAAGUACGAGAGUAACUGCUCGUACCUUGACGGUACCUAACCAGAAAGCCACGGCUAACUACGUGCCAGCAGCCGCGGUA